GCUUGUCUCAAAGAUUAAGCCAUGCAUGUUCAAGUAUAGCAAGUGUACAGUGAAACUGCGAAUGGCUCAUUAAAUCAGUUAUAAUUUAUUUGAUAGUGAAAUUGUACAUGGAUAACCGUGGCAAUUCUAGGGCUAAUACAUGCGUCAAUGGUCGGUCGACCAGUAUUUAUUAGAUACAGAACCAACCCAGGUUCGCCUGGACUCUGGCGAGUCAUGAUAACCGAGCGAAUGGCAUGGCAUCAGCUGGCGAUGUACCAUUCAAGUUUCUGACCUAUCAGCUUCCGACGGUAGGGUAUUGGCCUACCGUGGCAAUGACGGGUAGCGGAGAAUUAGGGUUCGAUUCCGGAGAGGGAGCCUGAGAAACGGCUACCACAUCUAAGGAAGGCAGCAGG
This 392-nucleotide ribosomal RNA is filed under the name uncultured fungus. RNAcentral describes it as "partial small subunit ribosomal RNA". It matches the Rfam family "Eukaryotic small subunit ribosomal RNA", at positions 30 to 432 of the family's 1831-position model. The record is from RNAcentral. Lineage: Eukaryota; Fungi.